GACGAACGCUGGCGGCGCGCUUAACACAUGCAAGUCGAACGGAAAGGCCUGCUUUCCCUUGUGGAUUGCGGGUACUCGAGUGGCGAACGGGUGAGUAACACGUGAGUGAUCUGCCCCCAACUUGGGUAUAAGCCUGGGAAACUGGGUCUAAUUCCCGAUAGUACUGCAGGGUGGUGCCUGUGGUGGAAAACGAUUUUCUAGUGGUUGGGGAUGAGCUCGCGGCCUAUCAGCUUGUUGGUGGGGUAAUGGCCUACCAAGGCGGCGACGGGUAGCCGGCCUGAGAGGGUGGACGGCCACAUUGGGACUGAGAUACGGCCCAGACUCCUACGGGAGGCAGCAGUGGGGAAUAUUGCACAAUGGGCGGAAGCCUGAGGCAGCGACGCCGCGUGGGGGAUGACGGCCUUCGGGUUGUAAACUCCUUUCGACCGCGAGGAAGCCACCUGGUUGGAAGGGUGGUGACGGUAGUGGUAGAAGAAGCACCGGCUAACUACGUG
Molecule: ribosomal RNA, 494 nt
Filed under: uncultured bacterium
Lineage: Bacteria
Description: partial 16S ribosomal RNA
Rfam family: Bacterial small subunit ribosomal RNA
Source: RNAcentral